This 301-nucleotide ribosomal RNA is filed under the name uncultured bacterium. RNAcentral describes it as "partial 16S ribosomal RNA". It matches the Rfam family "Bacterial small subunit ribosomal RNA", at positions 509 to 807 of the family's 1533-position model. The record is from RNAcentral.
CAGUCGCCGCGGUAAUACAGAGGGUGCGAGCGUUAAUCGGAUUUACUGGGCGUAAAGCGUGCGUAGGCGGCUUUUUAAGUCGGAUGUGAAAUCCCUAAGCUUAACUUAGGAAUUGCAUUCGAUACUGGGAAGCUAGAGUAUGGGAGAGGAUGGUAGAAUUCCAGGUGUAGCGGUGAAAUGCGUAGAGAUCUGGAGGAAUACCGAUGGCGAAGGCAGCCAUCUGGCCUAAUACUGACGCUGAGGUACAAAAGCAUGGGGAGCAAACAGGAUUAGAUACCCCCGUAGUCCCUGUCUCUUAUAC